GGAUCAAUAUGUUGGUCGUGCCUUGGUACGUACUAGUUUAUUGGUCUCUUCCUUCUGACGAACCAUGAUGUCAUUAAUUUGGUGUCUUGGGGAGUCAGGACUGUUACUUUGAAAAAAUUAGAGUGUUUAAAGCAGGCUCACGCUUAAAUACAUUAGCAUGGAAUAAUGAAAUAGGACGUUUGAUUCUAUUUUGUUGGUUUCUAGAAUCGCCGUA
RNAcentral lists this ribosomal RNA (214 nucleotides) under Campeiostachys nutans. RNAcentral's name for it is "Elymus nutans partial small subunit ribosomal RNA". The stretch from base 37 to 214 matches the Rfam family "Eukaryotic small subunit ribosomal RNA", at positions 685 to 864 of the family's 1831-position model. Lineage: Eukaryota; Viridiplantae; Streptophyta; Magnoliopsida; Poales; Poaceae. The record is from RNAcentral.